Molecule: non-coding RNA, 85 nt
Organism: Bombyx mori (domestic silkworm)
Lineage: Eukaryota; Metazoa; Arthropoda; Insecta; Lepidoptera; Bombycidae
Source: Rfam
UUAACUCGAAUUUGUAUGGAGUUGGAACGUUUGCCUACGUUUGCCGCUAGGGGCGCUGUUCCAACUUCAUACAAAUUUUAAGCUA